This 121-nucleotide small nucleolar RNA is filed under the name Echinops telfairi (small Madagascar hedgehog). Its description in RNAcentral is "Small nucleolar RNA SNORA61 (ENSETEG00000024645.1)". Lineage: Eukaryota; Metazoa; Chordata; Mammalia; Afrosoricida; Tenrecidae. The record is from RNAcentral.
ACCCUCCAGAGCCCUUACCCAGCAGAUCUAAACACUGGUCCGAGUGGUUAUCAGAGGAGGAACAGGAACAUUGAAACCGACUUCGAUGCUUUUCAGACACCCGAGCUAGCGUCAAACAACU